Molecule: ribosomal RNA, 467 nt
Filed under: uncultured bacterium
Lineage: Bacteria
Description: partial 16S ribosomal RNA
Rfam family: Bacterial small subunit ribosomal RNA
Source: RNAcentral
GACGAACGCUGGCGGCGUGCUUAACACAUGCAAGUCGAACGAUGACGACCGAGCUUGCUCGGUCUGAUUAGUGGCGAACGGGUGAGUAACACGUGAGCAACCUGCCCUUCACUCUGGGAUAACCUCGGGAAAUCGGGGCUAAUACCGGAUAUGAGCUCCUGUCGCAUGGCGGGUGUUGGAAAGUUUUUCGGUGAAGGAUGGGCUCGCGGCCUAUCAGUUUGUUGGUGAGGUAGUGGCUCACCAAGGCGAUGACGGGUAGCCGGCCUGAGAGGGCGACCGGCCACACUGGGACUGAGACACGGCCCAGACUCCUACGGGAGGCAGCAGUGGGGAAUAUUGCACAAUGGGCGAAAGCCUGAUGCAGCGACGCCGCGUGAGGGAUGACGGCCUUCGGGUUGUAAACCUCUUUCAGUAGGGAAGAAGCGAAAGUGACGGUACCUGCAGAAGAAGCGCCGGCUAACUACGUG